AGAGUUUGAUCCUGGCUCAGAUUGAACGCUGGCGGCAGGCCUAACACAUGCAAGUCGAGCGGUUGAGGGUAGCUUGCUACCUGAUGCAGCGGCGAACGGGUGAGUAAUGCAUGGGAAUCUGCCUGGUAGUGGGGGACAACGUCUCGAAAGGGACGCUAAUACCGCAUACGCCCUACGGGGGAAAGGGGGGGAUCUUCGGACCUCCUGCUAUCAGAUGAGCCCAUGUCAGAUUAGCUUGUUGGUGAGGUAAAGGCUCACCAAGGCGACGAUCUGUAACUGGUCUGAGAGGAUGAUCAGUCACACUGGAACUGAGACACGGUCCAGACUCCUACGGGAGGCAGCAGUGGGGAAUAUUGGACAAUGGGCGCAAGCCUGAUCCAGCCAUGCCGCGUGUGUGAAGAAGGCCUUCGGGUUGUAAAGCACUUUCAGUGGGGAGAAAGGCCUUUUGCCUAAUACGCAAGAGGAUUGAUGUUACCCACAGAAGAAGCACCGACUAACUCCGUGCCAGCAGCCGCGGUAAUACGGAGGGUGCAAGCGUUAAUCGGAAUUACUGGGCGUAAAGCGCACGUAGGUGGUUUGUUAAGCUAGCUGUGAAAUCCCCGGGCUCAACCUGGGCACUGCAGUUAGAACUGGCAAGCUAGAGUAGGGUAGAGGGGUGUGGAAUUCCAGGUGUAGCGGUGAAAUGCGUAGAUAUCUGGAGGAACAUCAGUGGCGAAGGCGACACCCUGGACUCAUACUGACACUGAGGUGCGAACGCGUGGGGAGCAAUCA
RNAcentral lists this ribosomal RNA (771 nucleotides) under uncultured bacterium. Its description in RNAcentral is "bacterial SSU rRNA". It matches the Rfam family "Bacterial small subunit ribosomal RNA", at positions 8 to 774 of the family's 1533-position model. The record is from RNAcentral.